CAAGUCGACGCUUCUUUUUCCACCGGAGCUUGCUCCACCGGAAAAAGAGGAGUGGCGAACGGGUGAGUAACACGUGGGUAACCUGCCCAUCAGAAGGGGAUAACACUUGGAAACAGGUGCUAAUACCGUAUAACAAUCGAAACCGCAUGGUUUUGAUUUGAAAGGCGCUUUCGGGUGUCGCUGAUGGAUGGACCCGCGGUGCAUUAGCUAGUUGGUGAGGUAACGGCUCACCAAGGCGACGAUGCAUAGCCGACCUGAGAGGGUGAUCGGCCACAUUGGGACUGAGACACGGCCCAAACUCCUACGGGAGGCAACAGUAGGGAAUCUUCGGCAAUGGACGAAAGUCUGACCGAGCAACGCCGCGUGAGUGAAGAAGGUUUUCGGAUCGUAAAUCUCUGUUGUUAGAGAAGAACAAGGAUG
Molecule: ribosomal RNA, 420 nt
Filed under: Enterococcus hirae
Lineage: Bacteria; Bacillati; Bacillota; Bacilli; Lactobacillales; Enterococcaceae
Description: bacterial SSU rRNA
Rfam family: Bacterial small subunit ribosomal RNA
Source: RNAcentral